RNAcentral lists this ribosomal RNA (460 nucleotides) under uncultured bacterium. RNAcentral describes it as "partial 16S ribosomal RNA". It matches the Rfam family "Bacterial small subunit ribosomal RNA", at positions 338 to 795 of the family's 1533-position model. The record is from RNAcentral.
CCUACGGGAGGCAGCAGUGAGGAAUAUUGGUCAAUGGACGAGAGUCUGAACCAGCCAAGUAGCGUGAAGGAUGACUGCCCUAUGGGUUGUAAACUUCUUUUAUAUGGGAAUAAAAUGUUCCACGUGUGGGAUUUUGUAUGUACCAGAUGAAUAAGGAUCGGCUAACUCCGUGCCAGCAGCCGCGGUAAUACGGAGGAUACGAGCGUUAUCCGGCUUUAUUGGGUUUAAAGGGUGAGUAGGGGGGUGGUUAAGUCAGGUGUGAAAGUGUGCGGCUCAACCGUACAAUUGCGGUUGAAACUGGCGGGCUUGAGUACAGUAGAGGUAGGCGGAAUUCGUGGUGUAGCGGUGAAAUGCUUAGAUAUCACGAAGAACUCCGAGUGCGAAGGCAGCUCACCGGACUGCAACUGACACUGAGGCUCGAAAGUGUGGGUAUCAAACAGGAUUAGAUACCCCGGUAGUC